CCGAGUGCGGGCCCUCGCGGCCCAACCUCCCACCCUUGUCUCUAUACACCUGUUGCUUUGGCGGGCCCACCGGGGCCUCCUGGUCGCCGGGGGACGCACGUCUCCGGGCCCGCGCCCGCCGAAGCGCUCUGUGAACCCUGAUGAAGAUGGGCUGUCUGAGUACUGUGAAAAUUUGUCA
RNAcentral lists this unclassified non-coding RNA (178 nucleotides) under uncultured Penicillium. RNAcentral describes it as "sequence contains ITS1". The record is from RNAcentral. Lineage: Eukaryota; Fungi; Ascomycota; Eurotiomycetes; Eurotiales; Aspergillaceae.